GAUGAACGCUGGCGGCGUGCUUAACACAUGCAAGUCGAACGGAAAGGCCCAAGCUUGCUUGGGUACUCGAGUGGCGAACGGGUGAGUAACACGUGGGUGAUCUGCCCUGCACUUCGGGAUAAGCCUGGGAAACUGGGUCUAAUACCGGAUAGGACCACUGCUUGGAUGUUGUGGUUGAAAGUUUUCUCGGUGUGGGAUGAGCUCGCGGCCUAUCAGCUUGUUGGUGGGGUAAUGGCCUACCAAGGCGUCGACGGGUAGCCGGCCUGAGAGGGUGUACGGCCACAUUGGGACUGAGAUACGGCCCAGACUCCUACGGGAGGCAGCAGUGGGGAAGAUUGCACAAUGGGCGAAAGCCUGAUGCAGCGACGCCGCGUGGGGGAUGACGGCCUUCGGGUUGUAAACUCCUUUCGCUAGGGACGAAGCGUUUUUGUGACGGUACCUGGAGAAGAAGCACCGGCUAACUACGUG
RNAcentral lists this ribosomal RNA (468 nucleotides) under uncultured bacterium. RNAcentral's name for it is "partial 16S ribosomal RNA". It matches the Rfam family "Bacterial small subunit ribosomal RNA", at positions 28 to 507 of the family's 1533-position model. The record is from RNAcentral.